GAUGAACGCUGGCGGCGUGCCUAAUACAUGCAAGUCGAGCGAACGGACGUGAAGCUUGCUUCUGGCAUGUGGGCGGGUGACGGGUGAGUAACACGUCGAUAACCUACCUUUAAGACUCGGAAAACGUCGUGAAACCGCAUCUAAUCUCGGAUGAUAUGUUGAACCGCGUGGUUCAUCAGUCAAAUACGGUCUUGCUGUUCCUUAUAGAUGGUUCGUCGCUUCAUUAGCUAGUUGGUAAGGUAACGGCUUACCAAGGCAACGAUGCAUAGCCGACCUGAGAGGAUGAUCGGCCACACUGGAACUGAGACACGGUCCAGACUCCUACGGGAGGCAGCAGUAGGGAAUCUUGGGCAAUGGGCGAAAGCCUGAUGCAGCCAUGCCGCGUGAGUGAAGAAGGUCUUCGGAUUGUAAACCGCUGUUAUCAGGGAAGAAAAUCUGUGUAAGUAAAUCUCGACAGCAUGACGGUACCUAAAGAAAAAGCACCGGCUAACUACGUG
RNAcentral lists this ribosomal RNA (497 nucleotides) under uncultured bacterium. RNAcentral's name for it is "partial 16S ribosomal RNA". It matches the Rfam family "Bacterial small subunit ribosomal RNA", at positions 28 to 507 of the family's 1533-position model. The record is from RNAcentral.